CGCUAACGGUUGAUCUUAUAAGAAUGAAAACAUAUAAUCAAUUUUCCAAUUUUUGAGAGCAAGCCCAUUCACAUGUUACGAAAUCCUGCCAGAGAAGGUUCUUCACAAUCGGGGUAAAAAUUUAUAUCGAUAGUGUGCAGCAAGCUUCUCGUGUUUCCAAGCGAGUCACAGGGUUUUACUCAGACAUCAUAAUUUCAGAAGAGACUGCAUCAGAAACCUGUGAUAAAUUCCUGCUCUAAAUUUUCACUUGUUACAUCUCAGAAGUGACGGGUGAUACUGAUAAUGGCUGAGAAGUUCAUUCCCACAUCAGCGAAAAGCUCUACGUACUCCAUACCUCCAGCUUCGUCCUUAAUUUUCUUAAUCAUGUCGAUGAAAUGAUACAUAUUCGAAAAAACUUUCACAUUCUAUCGUUUUACGAACAUGAAUGUGGACCGGAGGAGGGGGGUCGAUGGAGCUCCGUGAGUAACGGUGAGGAAGGUAGGCGCUGAAGGGCGAUGGCGACUGUACGUGCUCACACUAGCUGUGAAACCAGUCACUGAACAUUCUUAGUGUAGUUUUGAUACAGCUUUCUCGCCGAUCUAACCUGCUCUGUGGUAGAUGAUGAAGUUAGGCCCCUUCAUUUUAGUACACACCAAAUGGGCGUGAACAACAUCCAGAGACAUGGGUUAGGGUUAGAACAAUGCCUGUACAAUGACAUAUGCCAACGCGGUUCGUCUAGGAGCAGGAGCGACACAAAUCGUUGAGGGGGGGAGCGGCACAACGGUCACAGCGACAAGCAUAUGGCAGACGCGCACAACCUGGAUUUUGGUAACUUCACUCUACUCGCAAGGGACCCAGCUGGCGAUUAACUCAACCAAGCCCAGGGAGGGAGGGAUACUCCAAAAAAUAUGCAGGAUUCCUAAUCAAGACAAACCACAAACGGAUUCACAUGUCAGAAGAGGUUGUUGCAGCUGAAGAACGUUAAAUGCGGGAGCAGGUUGUGGUGCCCUGCCUCCUCAGCAUCAAAUCCAACCAAUCUGCAUUUGCAACAUGGCUUGACAAGCUUAACUCUAAACUGUUGAGUAGAAGAAUCACGUCCAUCAACAAAGUGGGCCAAGGGAUUUUUUGUCUGCUUACUCUAGAUCUAGAAGUUGCCUAAUAAAUCCUUGUACUUACACCUCACAGACAAUGGCUUCUGUGUAUUUUUCAACAAUGGACUCUAUAAUUCAACCUGAAGAACAAGAAAGGUAUAAUCAUCCCCACCUGGAUAUCAUUCAAGAACUUACUCUGGCAAUUCAACGAUGUUGCCCUAGAAAUUUUACAAGCCCUUGGAAAAGUACUUGGGGCAAACAUGAAAAAUACCAUGUUCACUAAACCCUGCUUUUAUAUUGUACUUGAUACCAACAAAGGUUGUUAAAUAGAAGAUGGACAAUCCAAAAAACUUACAAUAGUGACUAUGGACUAUGCAAAUCUUCCAAUAUGUUUCCGACUCUACUUAGAAGUGGAUCACCACAUUAACAUUUCUCGCUUUUUUUUCCCUUGGGAUUGCCAAAACUAUAUUGCAUUAUUUUUAGACAUGUCUAAGAAUGAAGAAGAUCUAGGAAUGGAGCUUGUAGCUCAUCUAUAAACUCCAACAAAAAAAAACCAAUCCACUCAUACAAUCCAAUUUUCUCUA
This 1654-nucleotide long non-coding RNA is filed under the name Physcomitrium patens. RNAcentral describes it as "long non-coding RNA (PPAT_LNC009380)". The record is from RNAcentral. Lineage: Eukaryota; Viridiplantae; Streptophyta; Bryopsida; Funariales; Funariaceae.